CCUACGGGUGGCUGCAGUGGGGAAUAUUGCACAAUGGGCGCAAGCCUGAUGCAGCCAUGCCGCGUGUGUGAAGAAGGCCUUCGGGUUGUAAAGCACUUUCAGCGGGGAGGAAGGCGUUAAGGUUAAUAACCUUGUCGAUUGACGUUACCCGCAGAAGAAGCACCGGCUAACUCCGUGCCAGCAGCCGCGGUAAUACGGAGGGUGCAAGCGUUAAUUGGAAUUACUGGGCGUAAAGCGCACGCAGGCGGUCUGUCAAGUCGGAUGUGAAAUCCCCGGGCUCAACCUGGGAACUGCAUUCGAAACUGGCAGGCUAGAGUCUUGUAGAGGGGGGUAGAAUUCCAGGUGUAGCGGUGAAAUGCGUAGAGAUCUGGAGGAAUGCCGGUGGCGAAGGCGGCCCCCUGGACAAAGACUGACGCUCAGGUGCGAGAGCGUGGGGAGCAAACAGGAUUAGAUACCCGAGUAGUC
Molecule: ribosomal RNA, 465 nt
Filed under: uncultured Klebsiella sp.
Lineage: Bacteria; Pseudomonadati; Pseudomonadota; Gammaproteobacteria; Enterobacterales; Enterobacteriaceae
Description: bacterial SSU rRNA
Rfam family: Bacterial small subunit ribosomal RNA
Source: RNAcentral